Molecule: long non-coding RNA, 741 nt
Filed under: Sorghum bicolor (sorghum)
Lineage: Eukaryota; Viridiplantae; Streptophyta; Magnoliopsida; Poales; Poaceae
Description: long non-coding RNA (SBIC_LNC009943)
Source: RNAcentral
GGCACGGUUUUAGUUGGUUUGGAUGCGAAAGGAACAUGCGAGGCGCUACGGGAUGCUUUAUAGGGCCUCGGUUCGUGCAAAACGGCAAGAAAAUCGCGCUGUUCCUGGGAUUGGAUUCGGUCCUGGAGAGAGUCCCGUUUGGCCACGCGAGGAAGAAGGGUUGGGGCGCUGACUUGCGGGGCCGGGUCGUCAGCGAUAGAAGAAAGAAGGGUGAGGCGCGCGGUUGGGGCGAGCUGGGCCGCUCGCGACCUGGGCCGGGGCGUGGGGGAAAAGAAACUGGACCUUGGCCGAUUGGGCCACCAGGCCGAGAGCACAGGUGAGUUCUUUCUCUUUUUUUUUUCUUUUCUUUAUUCUAUUUCUUUUCAAAGCAUUUUCUAAAAGAGCUUUUGAGCAUAAAGUAAAUAAAAUAAAAUACAAUCAGCACAAAAAUUAUUAUGCUUCAGCAUGAAUGCACAGCCAUGUCUCUAAACUUAUGAUAAAUUUUAUUUUCAACUGAAUUUAUUUAUUUACUACAUUAAAUGCUCAAAAAAAAAUACUUAAUUAAAUCAAAUUAAUUCCUAUUGAUUAAAAAUAAAUUUUUGGGUGUUACAGUACUCAUAGAUAUUUCCUGACUAGCUGGACCGUGGUAGUAGUGAGGAACGUGACAAUUCCGAGUUACCUUUGCAGACCAUAUCUCGUUAGCAGGAAGGAUAGGGUUUAUAGGUGCGGGUUGAACAUCCUUUGUGGUGUCUAGAUUCCGUU